RNAcentral lists this ribosomal RNA (463 nucleotides) under uncultured bacterium. Its description in RNAcentral is "bacterial SSU rRNA". It matches the Rfam family "Bacterial small subunit ribosomal RNA", at positions 46 to 507 of the family's 1533-position model. The record is from RNAcentral.
GCUUAAUACAUGCAAGUCAACUUGACUUUAGAUAGCAAUAUCGAAAAGUAGGGUGGCGCACGGGUGCGUAACGCGUAGGUAAUCUGCCCUGAGGUCUGACAUAACCCGUCGAAAGGCGGGCUAACAUCAGAUGAUAUAUAAUCACGACAUCGUGGAAAUAUCAAAUCUUCGGAGCCUUGGGAUGAGCCUGCGUCUGAUUAGGUAGUUGGCGGAGUAAUAGCCCACCAAGCCUACGAUCAGUAGCUGGUCUGAGAGGAUGAUCAGCCACACUGGAACUGAGACACGGUCCAGACUCCUACGGGAGGCAGCAGUAAGGAAUAUUGCUCAAUGGGGGGAAACCCUGAAGCAGCAACGCCGCGUGAAGGAUGAAAUACUUUCGUAUGUAAACUUCUGUAAGAUGGGAAAAAUAUUCUCCUCGGGAGAAUUGAUUGUACCAUCAGAGUAAGCCCCGGCUAACUACGUG